UACGUAGGAUGCAAGCGUUGUCCGGAAUUAUUGGGCGUAAAGAGCGCGCAGGCGGUUACUCAAGUCAGAUGUAAAAUAUCCCGGCUUAACCGGGAGGGGCCAUUUGAAACUGGGUAACUAGAGUGAAGCAGAGGAUAGCGGAAUUCCCGGUGUAGUGGUGAAAUGCGUAGAUAUCGGGAGGAACACCAGUGGCGAAGGCGACUUCCUGGCCUGUUCUUGACGCUGAGGCGCGAAAGCUAGGGUAGCAAACGGG
Molecule: ribosomal RNA, 253 nt
Filed under: uncultured bacterium
Lineage: Bacteria
Description: partial 16S ribosomal RNA
Rfam family: Bacterial small subunit ribosomal RNA
Source: RNAcentral